GGCGCACGGGUGCGUAACGCGUAUGCAAUCUACCCUAUACUGAGGGAUAGCCCGGAGAAAUUCGGAUUAACACCUCAUAGUAAUACAUAAUCGCAUGGUUUAGUAUUUAAAGGUCACGGUAUAGGAUGAGCAUGCGUCCCAUUAGCUAGAUGGUAAGGUAACGGCUUACCAUGGCGACGAUGGGUAGGGGGCCUGAGAGGGUGGUCCCCCACACUGGUACUGAGACACGGACCAGACUCAUACGAGAGGCAGCAGUGAGGAAUAUUGGUCAAUGGGCGCAAGCCUGAACCAGCCAUGCCGCGUGCAGGACGAAUGCCCUAUGGGUUGUAAACUGCUUUUAUUUGGGAAUAAACCUAUUUACGUGUAGAUAGCUGAAGGUACCAAAAUGAAUAAGCACCGGCUAACUCCGUGCCAGCAGCCGCGGUAAUACGGAGGGUGCAAGCGUUAUCCGGAAUCAUUGGGUUUAAAGGGUCCGCAGGCGGUGGUAUAAGUCAGUGAUGAAAUCUC
RNAcentral lists this ribosomal RNA (507 nucleotides) under uncultured Bacteroidota bacterium. RNAcentral describes it as "bacterial SSU rRNA". It matches the Rfam family "Bacterial small subunit ribosomal RNA", at positions 97 to 603 of the family's 1533-position model. Lineage: Bacteria; Pseudomonadati; Bacteroidota. The record is from RNAcentral.